Molecule: long non-coding RNA, 584 nt
Organism: Brienomyrus brachyistius
Lineage: Eukaryota; Metazoa; Chordata; Actinopteri; Osteoglossiformes; Mormyridae
Exons: 3
Source: RefSeq, a predicted model, not a curated record
UGUGUCGGGGCUCUGUGUACAGUAAUGGGUUAGGUUUUGUGUGUCGGGGCUCUGUGUACAGUAAUGGGUUAGGUUUUGUGUGUUGGGGCUCUGUGUACAGUAAUGUGUUAGGUUUUGUGUGUUGGGGCUCUGUGUACAGUAAUGGGUUAGGUUUUGUGUGUUGGGGCUCUGUGUACAGUAAUGUGUUAGGUUUUGUGUGUUGGGGCUCUGUGUACAGUAAUGGGUUAGGUUUUGUGUGUUGGGGCUCUGUGUACAGUAAUAGGUUAGGUUUUGUGUGUUGGGGCUCUGUGUACAGUAAUGGGUUAGGUUUUGUGUGUUGGGGCUCUGUGUACAGUAAUAGGUUAGGUUUUGUGUGUUGGGGCUCUGUGUACAGUAAUGGGUUAGGUUUUGUGUGUUGGGGCUCUGUGUACAGUAAUGGGUUAGGUUUUGUGUGUUGGGGCUCUGUGUACAGUUAGGUUUUGUGUGUUGGGGCUCUGUGUACAGUUAGGUUCUGUGUGUAUCCAAUCAUCACUCAAUAAAUCAAUCAGUCGUUAUUUAUAUAGCACUGUAUCAACACGGUGCACGCAGCCUUGUGACCCAUCUGC